This is a long non-coding RNA of Glycine soja, 716 nucleotides long. RefSeq lists it as uncharacterized. The record is from RefSeq and is a predicted model, not a curated record. The transcript is spliced from 3 exons. NCBI's taxonomy places the organism in Eukaryota, Viridiplantae, Streptophyta, Magnoliopsida, Fabales, Fabaceae.
ACUCCAUAUGUACUGUGAAAUUAUUAUUUUUUAAGGCUAGGCCAAGGAUUCUCGAGGGUAAUUAAGUUUAAAUGUUUAACCCCAAAGCUAGGCAUACACAACACAACAACGUGUGCGUGAGUGAGUAAGCAUGUCCCCCGUUUCUUUCAAAUCAAAACCCUAGCUAGGUUCAAGACAUCUUCGCCCGUGUCGAAAGCCAAUCCACCAUCGACCUCCCCCAAGUCAUCGUUGUCGGCAACCGGAGCAACGACAAGUCCAGCGUCCUCGAAGCCUUUGUUGGCCGCGACUUCCUCCCCCGCGGCAACGACAUCUGCACGCGCCGCCCCCUCGUCCUCCAGCUCGUCUAGACCAAGCGCAAGCCCAACCUCGACAACAAUGACGAGUACGGUGUGUUCCUCCACCUCCCCGACCAGAAAUUCCAUGAUUUCUCUGAGAUUCGCAGGGAAAUUUAGGUUUCAGAUAAAUCAAUAUAUUAAUUUGUACAAUGGCACUAGUGUUCUUCCUAGCAAUAUUUUUCAAGGAAAGGCAGCAGAGAUGGACUACAUAAACACUUCCACCUAAAUUUUAUUGGUGGAAGCAAGGCAUUAGAAAUAGUUGUGCAACAGACCAAGUCCUCUAGGGUUGCUAUACCAGUUUCUAGGCAAAAGGUAUACUUGUUAUGAGAUCUAAUUCCAAAUAUGCCCCAUAUUUUUCAUUUGAGAUAUGUAUUCUUAUUU